This is a long non-coding RNA of Cephus cinctus (wheat stem sawfly), 388 nucleotides long. RefSeq lists it as uncharacterized. The record is from RefSeq and is a predicted model, not a curated record. The transcript is spliced from 2 exons. Lineage: Eukaryota; Metazoa; Arthropoda; Insecta; Hymenoptera; Cephidae.
UAUUAGAGCUGACAGGGUGACGGUUCAAUGGCGUCACUCCGCAUCCACCAUUUUUUCUUACUUGAUCAUCAUUGAUCCGAAUAUUAUAUUAAUAUUAACCUAGAUCGACUCACCUGUAUACAAUUUCAAACGCUGCAGGUUAAGCUGCGACAUGGUGCCCGGACCACUUCCGGUUUGACGACCCUCCUUGAUAUCGCAUCAAGGGAUGCUGCGUGAGAGACGCUUCUUGACGGACCUUCAGCAGCCCCUCCGGACGAAGAGUUCACCGGACCCUCCCAGAUUCCAGAUUUCUGCGACACCUAUGAAUAACCAUACAAUUAAAUCCUUGUAUAAAUUUCGCUAUGCAGUUUGGAUAAUCGUGCAAGAUAAAACGGUAUCACGGUAUAAA